Molecule: long non-coding RNA, 800 nt
Filed under: Mustela putorius furo (domestic ferret)
Lineage: Eukaryota; Metazoa; Chordata; Mammalia; Carnivora; Mustelidae
Description: lncRNA (ENSMPUG00000027395.1)
Source: RNAcentral
CUGUUCCACAGUCACUGAAGUAAAAUUUCUUCCUCGAGCUUCAGCAAUGUGGAGUUCUUAAGGCUUUAGAGGAGAGGCAAUAGAGUGUUUCCAGAUGUUUGAAAAAUAUCUUUGUAGGCAGAAUGCUCAGCAAAUGAGAUUUUACUUUGGCCGUGCUUACCUUUGAGGAAGUUCAGAGAUUUCAACUAUUUAAGUUGAAGUAUGAAGUCCAUUUUGAAUUCAAUUUCAGGUUCUCUUCUUGUGUCUGCCUGUGUAGCUCCCAGAGCAGCUGGAGUCUCCAUGAGCCCCUCUGGGUAAGACUUAGAUGCUGGGGAUUGUGUGACCUCAACUGCCCAGAUGCACAGAAGACCAUGCUGCUGGAAGACGGGGUGAUGGUGAGACAUGGGUCCGGGAUUUCUACUAUGGGGAAGCAGAGCAAGUGUUGGAGGCAAGAGGAGUGCUGAUGAGAAUGGUCCAACUGGGGAGGAGCACAGACUGGGCCUGAAUCAAACAGUAGUUAUGAUUGGAUGAUCCGCUGAAGAAUCAAGAGAUCGCUGGCUCUUUUUGGAAUUGUUUUUGGACUUUUAUUUUAAGAAAGAGGAGGAAGCAAAUAUCAAAAGUAUGCCUGUACUAUGCCAAGACCUUUUUUUUUUUUAAAGAAAGUGGGAAUAAACACUGGAUAUACAAACUUUGUAGUGGAGAAUAAGAAAUAUUAAAAAAAAAAAAACUAAGAAACUUGGAAGAGCGAAGGGUCAUAUAUUCAGAAUACUAAAAUGGAUUCAAUCACAUUUAAAUAAAAACUUGUAGGAAUGAUUAACCAG